GGGGAGGAAAAGAGCGAGGCUGGGAGUGAGCGGCAUAGUAUAAGCAGCGUCACCCUUUUACGGGGACGAUCCCUCUAUCGCUGUGGCGACCAGAGAGGCCAGAGGACCACUUAAAAAGCCCCGCUGGUCUGCCACGGGGACGGCCUCCUUUGCGCCCUCGGAUUGGGCCCACGGACCCAGACCGGGCCCUUCCAUUGGCGGUGGUGCUGUCAGUUGCUCAGCGCACAGCUUGCUGGGAGCUGUAGGACGAGGGGUCCUCGUCCCAGAGGCUUCGGACGCUAUGAAGGACGUUUCUGCUCGGCCGGCCUGAGCCCACGAGUUCCCUCCUGGGCCUCCUCAGCUUAUUUUAGUCCAGGAAUCCCCCAGGCCCAGCAUUGCAGGUUACAAGAGCUUCGUUGAGCCCCGAGGUUCUGGGGACCCGUCUGGGAGACCGUUGAACCGAAGGCUGGCUUCGUGGUUCCCCUGGGGUGGGUCUUUGUGUGACCCUUCGGGGCCAGGGGCGCGGAAGGCCAGAGGGGUUAGGUAUUUGUCACCCAGAAGCCUACAGUUUCGUACGCCAGAAACGGAGCAAGUUUGUCCGGCUGUUUUGAGCAGUCAGUCCAAGGGGGGCCGUGACUGGUCACAAUGGGAGAGUGGCUCCUGGCCAAGAGGGAGGGAACCCUUUGUAGGCUCACAAAAUAAUUGGGAAGAUGAACGCGACAGGCAGCCUUGGCAAUUUCUUUGUCUCCUUCUUCAAGUAUCCUCACCAGGAGUCUCCUUAUUCGGCCCUCUGGGGGCUUUGCCACACCCGAGAUCUGGGACCUGUAUCUCCACAAUUUCCAGAAAUGGAUUCUUUUGUUAUUUGUAUUUAAUGAACAUGUCAACUUGCCAGAUUAAUCACGAAACUUUUGAUGUAGAAGAGACCCUUUGUCUGGACUACAUUUGCCCCAGAUAUCUUCAUGGCUUGUUCCCUAUCAGAAUGGAUUCUGUGGGGCUGCAUAUUUUUUUGUGAUAGUCAGGCCACUUUCUGUUUUUUUCUUUUCCCUUCCUUCGGAAGAGCUGUUCAAAAUGGAGAACGGUAACACUUCGUUUACACCGGGGCAAAUUCUUACAAGCUUUUAUUUAUUGAGCUGGUGUCCUUGAGGCUGAACAAGAAUGAACGCAUAAGCUGGUCUCGGACGCCAGGUUGGACCAACCGGAAAAGGCAUCACCUCAGCAGAUGACACCCAUCUUCUGAAGGCUUAGAGGUGGUCCCCAAAGGAUGCUCGGGGACACGACAAGGUGGUGUCAUUAGAGCCAGUUAGGAGAGGCUUGCAGGUUCCACUGCCAGCCCCUUUGCGAACCAGGGGAGUGCUGUGAUGGAAAAUGGCCCGAGUGUAACUGAGGAAGCAUUGCGGUCUCCUCCAGGGAGAAGAGCUGUCCUCACCGACAGCUGAAAAUCCACGUGAGCAGCGAAGCCGAAAGCUCCCGGUGAAUCCUCAUGUGUUAACACAUGUAAUAAUGUGAUGGCCAGUAUUUAUGUAAUAUUUUAAACCUCUUGUAGCACUUUUACACAUGAUCCUACUCUUUUAGAAAUAGUAUGGGUCGUGAUGAUGGGUUUGAGUUUGAAUUCUGGUUCAACCUGUUGGCUGUGUGAUCCUAAAUAAGUUACUUAACCUCUCAG
Herpailurus yagouaroundi (jaguarundi) is the source of this 1642-nucleotide long non-coding RNA. RefSeq lists it as uncharacterized. NCBI's taxonomy places the organism in Eukaryota, Metazoa, Chordata, Mammalia, Carnivora, Felidae. The record is from RefSeq and is a predicted model, not a curated record. The transcript has 5 exons.